AGACGGGGCCCGCACAAGCGGUGGAGCAUGUGGUUUAAUUCGAUGCAACGCGAAGAACCUUACCUGGUCUGACAUCCACGGAAGUUUUCAGAGAUGAGAAUGUGCCUUCGGGAACCGUGAGACAGGUGCUGCAUGGCUGUCGUCAGCUCGUGUUGUGAAAUGUUGGGUUAAGUCCCGCAACGAGCGCAACCCUUAUCCUUUGUUGCCAGCGGUCCGGCCGGGAACUCAAAGGAGACUGCCAGUGAUAAACUGGAGGAAGGUGGGGAUGACGUCAAGUCAUCAUGGCCCUUACGACCAGGGCUACACACGUGCUACAAUGGCGCAUACAAAGAGAAGCGACCUCGCGAGAGCAAGCGGACCUCAUAAAGUGCGUCGUAGUCCGGAUUGGAGUCUGCAACUCGACUCCAUGAAGUCGGAAUCGCUAGUAAUCGUGGAUCAGAAUGCCACGGUGAAUACGUUCCCGGGCCUU
This 469-nucleotide ribosomal RNA is filed under the name uncultured Enterobacteriaceae bacterium. RNAcentral's name for it is "bacterial SSU rRNA". It matches the Rfam family "Bacterial small subunit ribosomal RNA", at positions 916 to 1381 of the family's 1533-position model. Lineage: Bacteria; Pseudomonadati; Pseudomonadota; Gammaproteobacteria; Enterobacterales; Enterobacteriaceae. The record is from RNAcentral.